RNAcentral lists this ribosomal RNA (305 nucleotides) under uncultured bacterium. RNAcentral describes it as "bacterial SSU rRNA". It matches the Rfam family "Bacterial small subunit ribosomal RNA", at positions 335 to 658 of the family's 1533-position model. The record is from RNAcentral.
GCUCCUACGGAGGCAGCAGUGGGGAAUAUUGCACAAUGGGGGGAACCCUGAUGCAGCGACGCCGCGUGAGUGAAGAAGUAUCUCGGUACGUAAAGCUCUAUCAGCAGGGAAGAAAAUGACGGUACCUGACUAAGAAGCCCCGGCUAACUACGUGCCAGCAGCCGCGGUAAUACGUAGGGGGCAAGCGUUAUCCGGAUUUACUGGGUGUAAAGGGAGCGUAGACGGCCAGACAAGUCUGAAGUGAAAGGCAGGGGCCCAACCCCUGGACUGCUCUGGAAACUGUCCGGCUGGAGUGCAGGAGAGGG